CUGUGACAUGCUUGCGUGUAAAAAGGGCUAUACAAAUAAAUUUGAUUUGAUUUGAUUUGAUUACGAGGACUUAACAUCUAAAUGUAUUCAUGGCCUCUGCUUAGUUAAAACAGUUAGUUCCAGCCUCUGUUCAGUUAGUUUAACCACGAAUAAUGUUUUGAGUGGUAAAAGCUGUUUCUAUGCGUGUAUUCAUGGAUACCACUGACGUGACGUCAUGUCGACGAGACUGCCGCCAUAUUUGUCCAAUUCGACAGUUCUUUUCUGUUUCGCUAUGGCGGUACACACCUCACACUUGAACUGGGUCCUGUGAAAUAACACAAACCACAUCGUGUUCAUGUCUCUGUAACUGAGACAUGAUAAUAAUAAGAAUAAGAAUUCUAUUCUUGAAUGUAAAUGAUCAGAGAGACAGAGACAGCUAUUAAUGAGUAUUACUCUCCCUGUGUUCUGUGGUCCAGGUAGCUUCAGUCUUUACACUCAGAUAACUAACACUGUGUGUCUUUUUUCAGACUGAGAGAACCCUGAUUGCUGCUUUGGCUGACUACCUGACCUCUGACCCCUGCUCCUGCUCUGACUGACCCAGAGAGAACUCAGACGCAGAGAUAACCGGACCAGAACUCCUGCUUGGCUGGUGAUCAGAUUUCUAGUCACUGAGUUUCAGUCCAUUACAUCACUGAGUAUAGGAGUGUUUCACAUUUUAAUCACUGAGUUUUUGUGGUUUAUCACAACUGCUGAGUUCACACAUGAAUAUAAAUGUAGUGAAAACAGACCUGUAAACAUUGACUGAAGUCAUGUUAGAGCCAUGUGAGCUGAGCUGUUCUGCCUGUAAAGUGGAUCAGAACAGGUCCCAGCAGCAGAGUCUGACAGUAGAAAGCUGACAGUUGAAAGCUGACAGUUUUAAUGGAACAUCACUGAAGGCAGAAAUCAGUGUGUAAUGGGAGCAGAACAUGUGCAGUGAUCAGUUCUGUACUGUUCUGCUUCAUGUUAAACAAGUCAGUGGGUCUUGAGAUUAUUUUAAUCAAGUCCACAUUUCAUAGUACCAGCUGUUUUCACACACAUCUGUAAACUACUGGCCUAAAAAGUGAUUUAUUUAACUUUUUCAAUAUUCUGUUUAUUUGAAUCCAUUAAAUGUUGAACUGUUUACACAUCUUAUGUAACAGACUGCUAGAUUAGAUUACUGCUAUCAACAAUGUCUAAUUAUUGUUUUCUCUGUGUCUUCCUGUUCAACGUGUCUCCUCUCAUUGUCCCUAUCAUUAUUGGACAUUCUGUCUUUCCUGUCCCACCUACCCCCUCUAUCUAAUAUUUGGACAUUCUAUCUUGUAUCAAUCUACCCCCCUCUAUCUAAUAUUUGGACAUUCUAUCUUGUAUCCCUCUGUCCCCUCUCUAUCUAAUAUUUGGAUUUGCUUUGGCUUAUCAGAAUUUCUUUGACUCACCAGAUUUGCUUUGGCUCACCAGAUUUGCUUUGGCUCACCAAAUUUGCUUUGGCUUACCAGAAUUGCUUUGGCUCACCGUUCUCAGAACCAGAUUUGCUUUGGCUCAACGUUCUCGGAACCAGAUUUGUUUUGGAAAACCAAGGUUGAUUGGAACCUUUUCUUUCUGUUUCAGAAAUCUGAGAUCUCACCCAAUUAAUGUUGUUUAUUCUUACUGAGUAAAACUCUAACUACCAUAUUUAUUUAUUUGUCUGCUGGUAAAAGUUCAAGACAAAUUGUACUUAGUCUUGAGUUUGUAUAUUUCCUUGAUAAUAAUUUUCUCUGUGGUGUGACCGAGUACUUAAAACAUAUUACUUAUCUUCUGGAUAUCUACUGUUUUGUCCUAUAAAACCUGUUAUUGAGUUGUAAAUACAUGAAAUAUUUUUUUUUUCUUAACAUAACUGUACAUAAGGUAUACAUUUCCAUAGUUCAUAUUUCCCACACAUUUGACAACCAACCUUUUCUACUUUCAUAUUUUUUGUAAUUGCAUGUAUAAUUACCAAUUAAAUAAAUUAAUUGUUGGAUAUUGAUAAACUAAACACAGCUACAUUUGAAAUAUAACAACAACCGGAGUGUGUUUGUGACAUCAGUACAAAUAAAGUAAGUUUUGAGGUUUUAAAGCACAGCAACGAUGCCAAGGAAGGGUCAACGUUCUCAGGCUCAGAAGCUCAGAUGGCAGAAGGAGAAAGAAUCUCAGCGUGAACAAGCAGAAGGUAUCCCAGUGUCACAGAAUGUAUCUUAUGCUGAGGUUGUAAGGAGAGGACAUCACAGUGAUGGUAUGUGUGUUGGACAGUCUUCUGAUGAACAGCAGGUAAACAACAGAGGCUAGAGUGCAGUUUCUGAUGGGAACACGGUCAUCGAUGCUGUCCAGCAUGAUAAAGAACAACAGGUGAAGCAGGGUGUACCUCAGGUGUCUUAUGCUGACAUGGUAAAGAAAGGACGUGAUGCAGCUGGAACAUCUCAUCAACACCGUGUGAAUGUGGAACCUCAGCCAUCAGUGACACAUGUCUGUGCCUCAC
Molecule: long non-coding RNA, 2485 nt
Organism: Hypomesus transpacificus
Lineage: Eukaryota; Metazoa; Chordata; Actinopteri; Osmeriformes; Osmeridae
Exons: 3
Source: RefSeq, a predicted model, not a curated record